Ipomoea nil (Japanese morning glory) is the source of this 958-nucleotide long non-coding RNA. RefSeq lists it as uncharacterized. The transcript is spliced from 6 exons. The record is from RefSeq and is a predicted model, not a curated record. NCBI's taxonomy places the organism in Eukaryota, Viridiplantae, Streptophyta, Magnoliopsida, Solanales, Convolvulaceae.
UACACAACAUGUUAAUUGGAUAAAUAUGCAAGGCUAAUGCGGAAGCUGCAGUUUGUAAAUGUUGAGUUGUUCAAGGGAAUUAGCCAAUUGUUUGGGAUCUUUUUUCACUUUGUAUUUGAGAGCUUUGUCAAUCAGAGUACUCUCCCUGGUGGAAAGGUCUUCAUAGACAUGCUUCCUUACAAGCUAAAGACUGCAUUAUCAAGAAUAACACAGGAUUGUGACCAAUGGAUGAAACCAGUCUUCACCAUUUAAUUCAUCUUCACCCACAUCUUCAAAUACACCAUUAACUCAUAUGGAUGUCACUCCUACAAGUCCACCAAGUCUCUUAUCUGGUGCAUCUUUUAGUCUCAAGGAAAGAUGUGCAGGUGCUGACACUAUAUCUCUUGUUGCAUAGAUCUAAAGAUCAUCUUCAGUCAAUGCUUCUGAAAAAAUAAUCAGCAACUGUUAAAGAUUUUUAUGCGCAUUUGGCAUGCCAUCUACUGAACUUUCUAUCAAAGAGCUUCUAGGAGAUUUUGAGGCAUGUGCUGAGAUGUUCAUUCCGGGCACUUUUAUCCGCCUUUUUCAAUUGGCAAUCAUCAGAGUCAGGUGUUUCGUCCAGUUAUGGUCCUCGAUGCUUCACUGAAAAAGAAGUGAAGUUGGGAGUCAAUGAUGCACUCGGGAUCAAGCCCAGUGGUUCUGCGUCUGUCUGGAUGGAAGGAAGGAAUAUUGGGUAGACGCUAUACACUUGCUUUGAUGCCCGGAGAAGAAACAAGAGUCAAGAAGGGAAACGUGAGGCAAAAGAAAAGUAAAAUGACCACCUUUGCUUUUCAUAAUUCUGUGUUUAAAAGAGUUCGAGUUAUAUUCUUAUUUUAUUUUAUUUUUAUUUAUUUAUUUAUUUUUUUACAGAUUUAUGUGUAUUAAUAUAUUUCGUACCAUUUCUAACAAUGUAACACUUUAGAAUGUUAUACUUUUGUAAUUG